Molecule: non-coding RNA, 114 nt
Filed under: Clostridiales bacterium
Lineage: Bacteria; Bacillati; Bacillota; Clostridia; Eubacteriales
Description: MoCo sequence
Rfam family: Molybdenum/Tungsten riboswitch aptamer (Moco RNA motif)
Source: RNAcentral
UUGAAUACUUAGCUCCGAUCUGCAAAUCCUAAGGGGAACUAUGGUUUGCAGACGAUAGGUCUAUCUGAAAACGGGUACACCUCCCAGUAGGAAAGGAGAUAAUGGUUGAUUCUA